GAGGGGGUCAGGGUGGCCGGUGACACAGGGAGGACACGCAAACACAAGGCGUCUGCUGGAAAUCAAACUGAGGAACUUUCUGAGGUGCUUUGAGGCACUGCUGGACAGCCCAUAUGAUACAUUUUGGCAGAUGACAUCAUCAGCUGUUUGGCCUAUCUCCAUCACAUGUGCAGCAGCAGGACUGAGCCACGCUUCCUCUCGUACUUUGACUCAUCAGCCUUCAGAUUCUCAUCUCUAAUUAGCGGCGAGGAGACGAGUUAACCUGAGGUGAACGCGCGCCCGGGCGUCUCCGUGAGCAUGUGUAUGUUUUCAUCCACAAUCAUGCGAUGCCAAGAAGCACACAAGAAGCACACACGUGGAGGAGGCACACGGCUAUCACCUCCUCAGGCUCCGGCUCACCUGCAACACACUCGGAGACUCAUUAGUGAAGGAAGGAGGACGAGUGGAAGGAGCUGAGGGAGGAGCUGAGGGAAGGAGGAGGCGAAGGGUCUGUGUGUGAGUGAAGGCAGUUGUUUGUGUGUGUAAUGUAUUGACCAAGUAAGAUUAAACGAUUUAUGAUGAAUUAGA
Molecule: long non-coding RNA, 567 nt
Organism: Acanthopagrus latus (yellowfin seabream)
Lineage: Eukaryota; Metazoa; Chordata; Actinopteri; Spariformes; Sparidae
Exons: 2
Source: RefSeq, a predicted model, not a curated record